AUUAGAUGAGCCUAUAUUAGAUUAGCUAGUUGGUGGAGUAAUAGCCUACCAAGGCAAUGAUCUAUAGCUGAUCUGAGYGGAUGAUCAGCCACACUGGAACUGAGAUACGGUCCAGACUCCUACGGGAGGCAGCAGUGGGGAAUAUUGGACAAUGGGCGAAAGCCUGAUCCAGCUAUGCCGCAUGAGUGAAGAAAGCCUUUGGGUUGUAAAGCUCUUUUAGUGAGGAAGAUAAUGYCGGUACUCACAGAAGAAGUCCUGGCUAACUCCGUGCCAGCAGCCGCGGUAAUACGGAGAGGGCUAGCGUUAUUCGGAAUUAUUGGGCGUAAAGGGCGCGUAGGCUGAUUAAUAAGUUAAAAGUGAAAUCCCGAGGCUUAACCUUGGAACUGCUUUUAAAACUAUUAAUCUACAGAUUGAAAGAGGAUAGAGGAAUUCCUGAUGUAGAGGUAAAAUUCUUAAAUAUUAGGAGGAACACCAUUGGCGAAGGCGUCU
Molecule: ribosomal RNA, 489 nt
Filed under: Wolbachia endosymbiont of Bemisia tabaci
Lineage: Bacteria; Pseudomonadati; Pseudomonadota; Alphaproteobacteria; Rickettsiales; Anaplasmataceae
Description: bacterial SSU rRNA
Rfam family: Bacterial small subunit ribosomal RNA
Source: RNAcentral